Molecule: ribosomal RNA, 442 nt
Filed under: uncultured bacterium
Lineage: Bacteria
Description: partial 16S ribosomal RNA
Rfam family: Bacterial small subunit ribosomal RNA
Source: RNAcentral
CCUACGGGUGACAGCAGUGGGGAAUAUUGGGCAAUGGGCGCAAGCCUGACCCAGCAACGCCGCGUGAAGGAAGAAGGCUUUCGGGUUGUAAACUUCUUUUUAGAGGGAAGAGCAGAAGACGGUACCUCUUGAAUAAGCCACGGCUAACUACGUGCCAGCAGCUGCGGUAAUACGUAGGUGGCAAGCGUUGUCCGGAUUUACUGGGUGUAAAGGGCGUGCAGCCGGGAAGACAAGUCAGAUGUGAAAUCCCGCGGCUCAACCGCGGAACUGCAUUUGAAACUGUUGUUCUUGAGUACCGGAGAGGUCAUCGGAAUUCGUGGUGUAGCGGUGAAAUGCGUAGAUAUAAGGAAGAACACCGGUGGCGAAGGCAGAUGACUGGACGGCAACUGACGGUGAGGCGCGAAAGCGUGGGGAGCAAACAGGAUUAGAUACCCCAGUAGUC